CCAGACUCCUACGGGAGGCAGCAGUGGGGGAUAUUGCACAAUGGGGGAAACCCUGAUGCAGCAACGCCGCGUGAGUGAGGAAGUAUUUCGGUAUGUAAAGCUCUAUCAGCAGGGAAUAGAAAAGAAGGUACCUGAAAAAGAAGCCCCGGCUAACUACGUGCCAGCAGCCGCGGUAAUACGUAGGGGGCAAGCGUUAUCCGGAUUUACUGGGUGUAAAGGGAGCGUAGACGGAAAGGCAAGUCAGAAGUGAAAGCCCAAGGCUCAACCAUGGGACUGCUUUUGAAACUGUCAAACUAGAGUGCGGGAGAGGUAAGAGGAAUUCCUAGUGUAGCGGUGAAAUGCGUAGAUAUUAGGAGGAACACCAGUGGCGAAGGCGUCUUACUGGACCGAAACUGACGUUGAGGCUCGAAAGCGUGGGGAGCAAACAGGAUUAGAUACCCUAGUAC
RNAcentral lists this ribosomal RNA (446 nucleotides) under uncultured bacterium. RNAcentral's name for it is "bacterial SSU rRNA". It matches the Rfam family "Bacterial small subunit ribosomal RNA", at positions 331 to 793 of the family's 1533-position model. The record is from RNAcentral.